UUUUUUUUUUUUUUGCGUGACAAGUAUUGUUAUCGCAGAUGCAAUUUGGGAUCUUUUGCAUGAUUACUUAGUUUUAGAACUUAUAUUUGAAUGGUUAUUAGGGAUUAGACUUGUUAAUUUGUGCAAAGUAUGGAAGAAAAUGAUUGAAUAUACUAUAUUUUUCUUUCUUAGUUCUAUACAAGAGGACAAUUUAGGAAUUUUGUGAAAAAAUCUAUCUUGUUAGACCUAUGUUGUUACUAAACAGUAAAAGUUAUGGUAGGUAUAUGUAAUUUUUAAAACGUGAGAGAAGUUCUUUGUAAUUGUUAAAAACCUCAAGGGAGAUUUGUGAAAUUAUCCCUUAAUAUUGUCAAUUCUUAGUUUAUACAUAGUUGACUAUGUUGUGUUAUACGUUACAUUUACUCUAAUACCUUCUUAGUGCUGUUAAGAAUAUUCGUCGAGAAAAUGUUACAUGCUGUGGAGGUGACAAAUCAUGUCCUUUUUGUUGCGAUUGACGUUCAUAAUAUCUCUUGUGCAAUGGGGGACUAGGAGUAGGACGAAUCAUUGGUCCAAGAGUUGAUGGCCUAGAUGGUGACAUAUUUAGAAUUUUAAUAGUUUUUCUAUUUAAGGACUUAAAGUCUCAUACCUGUAGUUGAGGAAAAUUAAUUUGUCAAUGAAAUACUACUUCAAUUCCUCCUCUGCCUGUUGCGUUUGUGGUUAAUCAAUCAGUGGCUUUAUUCUUAUAACCUAGCCGAUUCCUUGCCUAUACUAAAUUAACGCAUGUGAAAGCCAGGCCCAUUCUAAACGGACAAUGUAAACGUUCAUAUAAAACUUGCUUAUUAGUUGCAUUAUAAGGAGUAUAAUACUUCUCGAAAACUAAAAGUCGUGAAAUCGUUAAUGUUAGGAUCAUUAGUAUGAAGAUUAAUCCAAUAGAACGAGCUUUCUGGUUUAUUCAUCAACACCAUUGGCUGAAAGAAAUUCUAGACUUCAACGGAUUAAUUUUUUUAAAAAAAAAAUGCUCAAAUCUUGGUAUUCAAACUAAAACAACAGCAUAAUUUAGGUCAAAAGAUCAAAUUUCUUGGUCUACAUUCUAAAAAUUCAGACUUUUCUAGGAAAAACCAACUACUUCUAAAAUAGUUGGCUACCAAGGAGAGAUUUUAAAUCUCUACUUGGGUGUUGAUCCCUAGCCUGCAUUCUAAACAAUAUAGACUUUUCUGGAAAAAUUUCGCCAGUUCCCCUCAGUAUAGAAUAGAAGUGUAGAAUAAAAUCUAUCGUAUCCAAAAAAAAAAAAAAAACUAAAAACAAUAGCACCAAAAAGUCCAAACUUGAUUUUUCUUUCCUUUUUCACUUCAAAAGAAGAUUCCAAACCUUAGCAGAGGGAAAAGAGAAAGAAAAGAGAGUCAAAUUAGAGGCGUCAUUGUCAUCAAAAUAAUAAACCAAACAGUUAACCCAACAUGUAGUCCUCGUUUUCUCAAGUCUCUUCGUGGUGUACGAGCUGCCGAAUAGUGAAUUAAAUAGCUUCAUGUAUAGGCAAAGAAGGUCAAAAUAGCAUCUCAUCUCUAUUUGCAUUUGGUGAUGGUAUAUUGAUUUCUCCGUUCUUGUUAUCUCAUCUCUGCGUGCGCGUGAUGCUAGAAUGCAUUUUGUGAUGGUAUACUCGGUUUACUUAAACUAUCCACCAAUACCAAGUUUAAGAGUUAAGAAUGAUAUUGAAUGACAACGAACGUGUAUUUUUAGAGUUGGAACUAUGAAAAUACAUUUUAAAAAAUAUAAAAUGAUAAUUUAUUUGUAGAGUUGAACUAGAAUAUCACUUCACCAAUUAUAUUCUAUAUAUUUAAUUUCCUCAUCCAUAUAGGUUUUACAAAAAUCUAAGAGAUAUAUCGAAAAUUAUGUUGAAAUUGCUCUUUCAUUUACAUGUACCCAAAGUCAAUAUUGGGAAACAUAAAUUAACCUCAAAAUGUUUGCUUAUUACAAUAAAUUCAACAAAAAUAUCUGUUGGUGGAUUCAAAUUUUCAUGCUCUAUGUGCUUUGCUUUAGUGAAUAUUUUCUUGUUUUCGGUUGUUUGUUUCAUCACUGCACAAGAAAAGUAUGGCUUGUCUUGGAUUUUUCUUGGUUUCAGAAACCUGUAAUAGCUGCUACCUUGCAACCAGGUUAUAUUAUCAGUCGAGAGGAUCCUUAAUGAUGCCACUGGCGUGUAGGAGUUUGCUUGCUGCUGUUGAAAAAUGACUUGUAUUUUGUCCUCUUAUAAAAAAUACCUCUAUAUAUCAGUAAAUGCGCGGGGUAUUUGACACGUGUGGUUAAAGAGGAAUUUUUAGGUGCCUAUGAUUAGCAAGUAAAUGAAGAUAAAAAUAAGAUAACAGCACAUAUUAAGUAAAAUUAAGAAAAUAUAGCUUUUGCUAAAAACUAUUAUGAAAUGCUGAGUGUAAAAGCUGAAAAAAUAAUGCAGUCCCGGAAGCCAAAAGGAGAAAACCAAAGAUGUGAAGGAGGAAGAAUUGAAAGAGCCAUAAUUGAUGCUCAGACAAUAACUUAAUAGUAUACCCAUAUUAUGUUUAAUUAGGAUGUAAAUAGUGUUUUAUUGUUGGUAGAGAAGCUAUUUUAAACGGUUGAGAUUCAGACAUAGGAAAGUAGGGGUUGAUAUAAUUAUGAGUGUUUCAAACAAUUGAAAUGGAGUUUUACUGCAAUUACUGGGGUUAUCAGCAACGUGGCUUUAUUUUAAUUACAUAAUAAUCCCAUUUCAAUAAUUGCACAAAAACACAUGCUUAUAUGAAUUGGGCCAAAUGCAUAAAUGAUUGCCAAAUAAGCCCACAUUUCACAAAUAUCCAGAUGUGUCUAUAAAUACAAACUUUAAAUGUACAAACAUAGGGUUUUAAUGUAAAAACACCCAAACACAUGCUUCAAUCAGUUGUAUCAAAAACUUGAAAAAAAAGCAACACAUUUUUUAAAUUUCCAAAAUGCGCCUGCCCAUGCGGUUGAAAUUCAACUCCCUCUUUGACCAAAACUCAAUCUUAUAUGGUAUAAGGAUACUUGACGUUUCAUAUUAAUUGCUACUUCACUAGAAACAACGGUCACAUUAGCAACAUCCAGAUUGGACUUGAUAUAAUCAAGGGUAAAAUACCAAAAAACUUCCUGUAAUUUGACAAAUAUUCAAUUUAAUUCCCUCUGGUUUGGAAACCUACACUAUAACUUCAUGUGGUUUUGACUAAAUUGAAAAUUGGACAGAAAGUAUAAAAUCUAACGGUUGUCUGUGAAAUGUCAAUAUUUCCCCUACCAUAUGUGAGAUGCUUUUUAUUCAAUUUUCAAUUUAGUUGAAACCGUAGGGAGUCCUAAUAUAAUUUUGCAAACCAAAGAGAGUUCAAUUGAACAUUCGACAAAUCAUAGGGAGUUCAUUUAUAUAGGGACAAUAUUGACAUUUCACAUAUAAUCGUUAGAUUAAAUACUUUCCAUCCAAUUUUCAAUUUAGUUAAAAUCAUGGGGAGUUAUAGUGUAAAUUUUCAACUCAGAUGGAGUUAAAUUGAACAUUUAACAAACUAUAAGGAGAUUUUUGGUAUUUUACCCGAUAAUCAAAUAAUUACUUGGCUAGUUGUCAUAUGCAUCAGUAUCCCAUUCAGUAUUCAGAACAAAUUUUUGUUACUCAGAACAACUUAAACUAAUCAUAGAAGACAAAACUCCUCAAAGUUAACGCCCAAAAAACUAUAAGCCAGUUCCGGUGGAUAUGAACCAUCGAAACAAAACUUAUUGCAUUCACAUGCAGGAGGAUGGAAUCAUUACGUGAUUCAAAAAUUGAUCAAAUUAUAUGGUAGAAUUAAGUAAAUCUUAUAUAUACUGAGAGUGUAUACACUUUCACUGUUAAAUUUAUAAUAUCUAUGUAAAAAUUGAAUUUCAAAUUUAAUUUUUUUAUAAUUAUCAUUUAUCUAAUGAUGACAGUAUAUACGCUAUUGGCGUGGAAAGAUUAAUUCGGAAGAGUUUGUUUCCAUUUACAUAGUUGAUGAAUUGUCCUCGUUUGUUCCUUAAGGUGAGCAGUUGUCCAAGAAACAAAAGUAAUUGACGUGUGAUAUUUGACGUUUUGAACUUUGCUCCAAGUAUUUCGUCCUACUUAAACUGAAGAUACGUUAUUCUUUGGAUUAAUUAGAUUUGUUUCCGGUUUUUCUUUUAUCAAAUUAGUCUCCCUCAGAUUCAGAAGAGCCAAUUUGACUUGAGAGUCAACAAUUAUUAACCCCAUGCAAUUACAUUGGAACAGCUGUUAAUCCAAUACAGAGCCAAAAAGUGGUUAUUCAAUUUUUUUAGUUAUAUUUCAAGAUUAAAUGACACGAAUCCAAUAAAAUGGUCAGAAAAAAUAGAAAGCAAACCUAGUUCCAGAAGAAGAUAAAUAAACGUUCCCAUUCUAGAUGGCAAUCGUAGCAUCUUAUUUUGCGUCACUAUAGCAAUUGGCACAACAAACCAACGCAGUUGGGCUGAGUUGGCUACCACGAAUAGACUUAAAACUCUUCUUGGAUGUAGGUCAAGAAAUCAAAUUUCUUGAAUCUCCGGAAUUUCCGAAAAGUGUCACCAGGGGGUGCAUAAGCACCCAUUUGCACCGGUAGCGAUUCCGUCCUUUUUAGGUUCUCCAUUGACCUCUUUAGAUCCACCGCUUCUGCAUAAUGUAGAAUUGGAGUAAAAUUGGCUCAACAACUUAUGUCUGAUUUUUAAUCCCUAAUCACAUGAACAUUUGAGAGUUGAGAGCACUAAUUCCAGUUAAGGCAUUAUCUCAGCAAUAAGGAGCCAAGUAUUUAAAGUGAAUCUCCCCUAGAUUAAUGAUGAGUUAUAAUAGGAACUCACAAUUUUCUAGCAAAUGCGGCUCUUUUGAUAGGAACUCACAAUUUUCAGUCUGUGCUUUAUAAAUUGAUUCAACAUAAAAUAAAAAAUGAGAUCUCCAUUGGAUAAUGGUUGGGAGUUGCGUUGCCUUUUUAGAGGAGAUAUAUAGUUACGUUGAUACAUAAAAAUAAAUAAAUAUUGAGAUCUUAUGAUAUGAUACGAGCCUUUCAAAAGUUGAACAGGUAUUAGAAGUGCAUUUGGUUGAUUCAAUACUGAUGAAGGAAGUCACUAAAAACAAAUUUAUUAGAUUGCUAUAAUGAGGAAUAGCCCAAGAUUAGCAAGGAAGACUUUGAACAAUAUCAGAGUCAAAAGCGUGGCAGCAAAAUAUAUUAGAAACUAAACCUAGCAGGUUCGAUUUAUAUUUAGAAAUCUCAAUGUAUUUAAAAACAUUAGACCUGGCAAUUAUGCCCAAAACCCAACAACCCACCCACUAAUUUGAGAGGUUGGAUUGGGUAAGUUGGAUAUUGGGUCAAAUUUUGAGUUGGGUAAUAAAAACCCACAUAUAUUUUGGGCGAUUUGGGUAUUUGUGUUAAGCACCCAAUACCCAACUUAAAUUAAAAAAACAAAUAAACAAAUUACAAGGGAUGAGAUAUGGGAUACAAAACAUUUCAUUGUUCAUGAAACAGCAUGAGACAUGAGCCAAAGCAGGGCCUCCAUGUAUGGAUACUUAACAAAAUUAUAUGAGCUACUUAGCUAUAAUACCUAUGUGCAUGCGUCGACGUUUUAUUAUUUUCCUAUAUUCAGAGUAUUCCACUCCUUUUACUUCCAUAAUAUUUUUGGUCACUUCUUCUUUUGUCAUGCAAUCAAAUAUAAGCCCAUUUGGAUUGUUAUUUUUUGAAAAUUUUAUAAAAAAAAAUAUACUCUAACAAUUUAAUAUAUAAUAACAAAAUAAUUAAAAAAUACGUUCAAUAAAACAUAAAAAAAAUUUUGGGAAAACAUAACAAUCCAAGAACGUUUGCAACACCAUAUCAUAUGUGUGCCUUUCCCACUUCUUGUUUUACUAGUACGCCAUUCCCAUUCUCAGUUCUGGUAGACAAGCGCAGAGUUGGACAUUAAAGAGAUCUUAAUUGAUCAAGGCAACUACCCUUGCUUUCAUAACACGAUUCCUUCUUUAUUUUACUGCAAAAUACACACUACGCUAAAUCCAUUUCUGACACCACUAACCCACGCCAAAACCCCUAUCUCCUCCCAUAUCAUACAUGUGUAUUUUAGUGUGUCUAUAUGUGUAAAAAUAAAGUAUUUCAAAAGAGCUUAAAAAGUGAGUGUGCGUUUGUAUCUGUAAGUGUUUUAGUGUGUGAAAAUAUAUCUAUCUAUGUGAAAAUGUGUUUAUUGUGUGAAUUUUUUUUUUGUAUGUGAAAAUAUAUUUGAGAGAGUUUAUUUAUCAAAAUCUAUUAAUUAAUAUAUUGGGUCAUGGGUUUGAAAUGACCCAAUAUGAUCCAACCCAAAAUUAAUUCAAUCUAAAGUUGGACGAGUUAAAUGUAACCCAUUUAAAUGAAAACCCAAUAUUAACCCGCCCAAUUGCUAGGUAUAAGAAACAUAUUAUCAUUUUCACACUACAUCACUUGAUAGAUAAUUUUUUUAAAAUAAAAAAUCAUACUUUGAUUAAACCUGCAUUAAUGGCAGAAAUUACAUCACACAUGCACAGAUACAAUAUAUUUGAAGAACCCCAGCAAAUACUAUAAAUCUACAGAAUUAAUAAAAUUACACUGUAAAUCUCUAACAAUACUAAAAAAUCAGUUUUAUAAAGAUAACACUUAUAACCGCCACAACUGUGCAUGUUUGAACUGUCAGAUCUACUGAUUAACUGUUUCAAAUUCACAUUCAUGAUAGAUACUUUUUACUAAAUGUUAUUUGGCAAGGCCAAGCAUUUCUUUUCAAGAAUUUGCAUCAACAUCCUAUUACGUAACUUUGAUGGAAGACAACUUCUAGAUGUAUAUUAGAGUACAAUUAAGCAUGCCGUAACUGCUAUAAGCAUCCAAAUAGACACACCACAUGGAAAUUGAUAAACAUGUGAUUAAGGAACCAUAAUUGGCCUGUGUCUCUUUCUCAUACAUGAUAAUUGCCCUCAUUUGUUUGGAUUGAAGAGGGCAAACCUUCCGAAAGAACUGAAGUCUGUCAUGUUAGAUGUUGAGACAUUAAACUUCACUCAUUUUGUUGUUUGCUGCAAGCAUUGAGGAAUUGAAGCUUUCGGCCGUUUUAAGAGUAUAAACGACAUUAUCAACUUUUGCAUUAGUUUUUGUCGUUUCUUUUGUACCAAGGGAAAAACUGAUAUCUUUUGCAUAAUUCCUCCUCCCACAUGCAUUUAAAUAAACUUUUAGAAUCGCCAAACCCAAUUUUGACACUGAAACGUAAACUUCUUGUUAACAUAUGACUUCAUUAUGUGAUCCAAUUUUAAGUAGAUCACCCAAUGGACCAGCAAGCAUAUGAUUAUCCUAUACUAGUAAAUCAAUAAAAAAUAAAUAAACAAAAGAACCCAUCCUGAAGACAAUUCAAUGCCAUGUAGCCAGUAACGAGUGAUAUUUAGUGUAUUCUGCAUUGUAAUCAUGCAAAUUUGGGCACAAUUAGCCGUCCACAAGACUUGAGGAAAUGCCUUAAAAAAUGAAACCCAAACCCAUCUUAUAGCUCAUUUCAUCAUUUUUCAUCAUCUUGAAUAACCAUACCGUCCAAGCUAUAAAGGCUACCAUUUGGUUGGCAACAAGAAGAUGAAGCUUAUUAUGUUAUUAGACAUUUUCCCUUGCAUGAAGCCCUUGAAAUGGCCAAUCAAUCACUCAAGCGGCCACAAGAAGUUGAAAACUUGAAGCAUGCAUGUUUACUGAAACACACUCUUUGUUAGUAGCCCCAAAAUGGACAAUGCUAACCCGGCACAUACAGAGAUAAAUUUCAUCUUAAGAUAUUCAAGGACAUAUGGAUCAAUCAAAUUUCUGUAGCUCAAAAAACUAAAAAAAAAAAAAAAAAAAAUUUGAUAACAAUUCAUACAGCUAAAUUAGCAAAUGGAUAACUGAGAUCAAUUAUAUUAGCCGUUUGGAAUCCAGAGGACAUCCAAAAGGGCUAAACUCUUGAGCUGCCCAAGCACCCCUUAAGUAAUCCAACAAAAUAUAUCCAUAAAGCAUCCUUCUCCAGUUCCAAACUAAACCUAGCACCAUAUCAAUGAUGCAGUUCCCAAGGGUAGAAACUAGAAAGGUUAAAGGAUGAAAGCACCGACCAUAACCGCAUAAACA
RNAcentral lists this long non-coding RNA (8042 nucleotides) under Coffea arabica (coffee). Its description in RNAcentral is "long non-coding RNA (CARA_LNC000080)". Lineage: Eukaryota; Viridiplantae; Streptophyta; Magnoliopsida; Gentianales; Rubiaceae. The record is from RNAcentral.